This 369-nucleotide ribosomal RNA is filed under the name uncultured fungus. Its description in RNAcentral is "eukaryotic LSU rRNA". It matches the Rfam family "Eukaryotic large subunit ribosomal RNA", at positions 40 to 398 of the family's 3401-position model. The record is from RNAcentral. Lineage: Eukaryota; Fungi.
AUAUCAAUAAGCGGAGGAAAAGAAACUAACAAGGAUUCCCCUAGUAACUGCGAGUGAAGCGGGAAAAGCUCAAAUUUAAAAUCUGAGAGUCUCUUUUGGCUCUCCGAGUUGUAAUCUAGAGAAGUGCUAUCCGCGCUGGACCGUGUACAAGUCUCCUGGAACGGAGCGUCAUAGAGGGUGAGAAUCCCGUCUUUGACACGGACUACCAGGGCUUAUGUGAUGCGCUCUCAAAGUGUCGAGUUGUUUGGGAAUGCAGCUCUAAAUGGGUGGUAAAUUCCAUCUAAAGCUAAAUAUUGGCGAGAGACCGAUAGCGAACAAGUACCGUGAGGGAAAGAUGAAAAGAACUUUGGAAAGAGAGUUAAACAGUAC